RNAcentral lists this long non-coding RNA (286 nucleotides) under Brassica napus (rape). RNAcentral describes it as "long non-coding RNA (BNAP_LNC014468)". The record is from RNAcentral. Lineage: Eukaryota; Viridiplantae; Streptophyta; Magnoliopsida; Brassicales; Brassicaceae.
AUUAGUAUAUUUAAUUAAUCUAAUUAAAAAUACUUCGAUUUUUCGGUUUGGUUUGGUUUUAAACCGAACCAAACCGAACCAUUUGGGUUAAUAAAGUUUUGAACCAAACAGGUUAGACAUAUACUUUGGUUUGGAUCAGUUUGGAUUCUGUUGGAUCGGUUUGGUUCGGGUUUUUUGCCCACCAUUAAUUUUUGUGUGUGUUUAGUUACAACUCCUGCAAAUUUAUACAACUGAGCAUUAACUGUUGGAUUAUACUCCCUCUGUUUUUAAAAGAUGCAUAUUCUAG